RNAcentral lists this ribosomal RNA (965 nucleotides) under uncultured bacterium. Its description in RNAcentral is "bacterial SSU rRNA". It matches the Rfam family "Bacterial small subunit ribosomal RNA", at positions 359 to 1342 of the family's 1533-position model. The record is from RNAcentral.
GAAUUUUGCUCAAUGGGCGCAAGCCUGAAGCAGCGACGCCGCGUGAAUGAUGAAGUCUUUCGGGAUGUAAAGUUCUGUCGAUGGGGACAAUAAUGAUGGUACCCAUAGAGGAAGCACCGGCAAACUAUGUGCCAGCAGCCGCGGUAAUACAUAGGGUGCAAGCGUUAUCCGGAUUUACUGGGCGUAAAGCGUAUGUAGGCGGUAUUUUAAGUCAAACUUCAAAUCCCGGGGCUCAACUUCGGUUCGGGUUUGAUACUGGAAUACUUGAGUUUGGGAGAGGAAAGCGGAACUAACAGUGUAGCGGUGAAAUGCGUAGAUAUUGUUAGGAACACCCGUGGCGAAGGCGGCUUUCUGGAUCAAUACUGACGCUGAGAUACGAAAGCGUGGGGAGCAAACAGGAUUAGAUACCCUGGUAGUCCACGCUGUAAACGAUGCACAUUAGGUAUAGGGGGUAUCGACUCCCUCUGUGCCGAAGCUAACGCGUUAAAUGUGCCGCCUGGGGAGUACGGUCGCAAGAUUAAAACUCAAAGGAAUUGACGGGGGCCCGCACAAGCAGUGGAUCAUGUGGUUUAAUUCGACGAUACCCGAAAAACCUUACCAGAACUUGACAUCUGGGGAAUUUCGCAGAAGUGCGAAAGUGCCCGCAAGGGAGCCUCAAGACAGGUGGUGCAUGGUUGUCGUCAGCUCGUGUCGUGAGAUGUUAGGUUAAGUCCUGCAACGAGCGCAACCCUCGUGUUGUGUUGCUACAUUAAGUUGAGCACUCUCAACAGACUGCCCGUGGUAAACGGGAGGAAGGUGGGGAUGAUGUCAAAUCAUCAUGCCCUUUAUGUUCUGGGCUACACACAUGAUACAAUGGCAAGCACAAAGGGAAGCCAAGCCGCAAGGCGGAGCAAAUCUCAAAAAACUUGCCUCAGUUCAGAUUAUAGGCUGCAACUCGCCUGUAUGAAGAUGGAAUUGCUAGUAAA